CCGACGGUGAGGGGUGAAGCCUAGGGGCACGAACCGGAUUAGAUACCCGGGUAGUCCUAGGUGUAAACGCUGUGGACUUGAUGUUGGGGGUGCUCCGAGCACUCUCAGUGUCGAAGCGAAGGUGAUAAGUCCACUGCCUGGGAAGUACGGUCGCAAGGCUGAAACUUAAAGGAAUUGGCGGGGGAGCACCGCAACCUGAGGAUUGUGCGGUUUAAUUGGAUUCAACGCCGGAAAACUCACCAUAGCCGACGGACAAAUGAAGGUCAGUGUAAUGAACUUACCGGAUUGUUCGAGAGGUAGUGCAUGGCCGCCGUCAGUUCGUACCGCAAGGCGUUCUGUUAAGUCAGAUAACGAACGAGACCCUCAUCCCUAUUUGCUAAGGUUUCUCCCUUCGGGGCGAGAUCACAGGACUAUAGGGAGACCGCUGGCGAGAAGUCAGAGGAAGGUGAGGGCAACGGUAGGUCAGUAUGCUCCGAAUGCACUGGGCUACACGCGCAAUACAAAGGACGGGACAAUGGGUCGCUGCUCCGAGAGGAAAGAUGGCUAUCCCGAAACCCGUUCGUAGUUCGGAUUGAGGGCUGUAACUCGCCCUCAUGAAGCUGGAUUAGGUAGUAAUCGCGUCUCAAAAAGGCGCGGUGAAUAUGCCCCUGCUCCUUGCACACACCGCCCGU
Molecule: ribosomal RNA, 671 nt
Filed under: uncultured archaeon
Lineage: Archaea
Description: bacterial SSU rRNA
Rfam family: Archaeal small subunit ribosomal RNA
Source: RNAcentral